Rosa rugosa (rugosa rose) is the source of this 1600-nucleotide long non-coding RNA. RefSeq lists it as uncharacterized. The record is from RefSeq and is a predicted model, not a curated record. Lineage: Eukaryota; Viridiplantae; Streptophyta; Magnoliopsida; Rosales; Rosaceae. The transcript is spliced from 2 exons.
CUAGAAGCUGCUUUUGGUCCAAAUAGAUUCUCCCAGAAGCUGAAAGUGAGAAGCAACCAAGUGCUAGCUUUUGAAAGUUGCUUCUCUGGAAAACACGGAGUGAACAGUGCUUCUUUAAUGAAAUUUAUCAAAUUCCCGAUUUUGUCCUCAUCAUUUUCUAAAAUUUACACUGAACCCAGUCAUUUUUCUUCAUCUGUAUUCUGUGCGAGGCAAAACCUUCGCACUCUCCUCCUCCUCCUCCCCCUCCCCCUCCCCUCGCCGUCAAAUACUUGAGCAUGAUUCAUACUCAUCGGAAGAAAUCGAGAGAGGGCGCUGACAUUUUUUCCCUCUCAGUCUCUCUCUUCGACCGUCGAGGCUUCGACGACCCUCGCUCUCAUCGACGGUAACUCGGUGACGGACUGCAGUCGAAUAGUUGAUCGAUCUGUCUGGGUUUUUACUUUCUGGGUUUUCAAUCAAUCUCUCAAGUGUUCGAAUAGCCUCGAACUCUUGGUUGCUCUCUUCCUCAAGCAGCAAAGCAGAAAUUCUUGGUUGCUUUCCGGUUCGAUUUCUGAGUUAUGGAAUUGAUCAAGUUGUUUUGGACGUUAGUUACUGAUUGAAAUUGAAUUGUAUUGUAUAUUUAUAUUGCAUCUGUUUUGAAAUUUGGCAUCAGUUUUGCCAGUUUUGAUGGGAAUUGAAUUGCAUCUGUCUUGGUAUUUGGAUGGAAAUUGAAAUUGUAUCUGAUAUGAAAUUGUUUAGGUGGAGGUGGAAACAAAUUGGUGAUUUCCCAAAGGGGGUUCUGGAAAGCAUUGUGGGGAUUAAACUCAUUAAAGCAUCCAAGUAAAGUGAAAAUCUUUAUGUGGAGAGAAUGUUGCAACUGUUGCUAAAGAUUGUUGGCUUUUCAUGGAAGCAUAUUUAUGAUUGUAGAUUUGUAAUUGACAAUUACAAUAUUGUUAUUCAGAACGUUUUGAAUCACAGUUUGUUUUGUUUGUUUGUUUUGAUGCUUGUUUCAUAUUAUAGCAGAUUAAUUGGAAUUGCAAAGUUGUGGCAUUCCAAGCUUUGGGUUUUCUAAUGAUGGAUGAAUUAGUUUGGGAAGGACACUCUAAUUAAGGUUCUUGGUAAUCAUGCAGCUUUGGACCAGAAUUGUGAUUUUAGUUUGGUUUUGAUAUACAGGGGAUCACAGGAGCCACAAGCUCAGCCACGUCCCGAGGAUGCUCCAGCACAGCAGUCCUAUUAUCCUCACUCUGUUAACUCCCCGAGCUCUUCUCGUCCUUUAACUCCGAGUUGAACCUCUUCUUCUUCCAAUUUGAGUUCUAGGGGUAACUCCCCGUCACCUGUUUCUCCCACUGAAGCUGCUGGUGUUAUUGCUUCUUUGAAGGACAAAAGAUCCAGUAAUUCAAAAGAAAGAAUCCAUUGGGGAAGUUUUUUGUGUGGUGAUCGUUUGACCAACAACUUAUAUCAGUUGAAUUUCCGGCAGAACAAAAAUGAGGAGAGACUGUGCCAGAAGAAGCUUAGAGUUUCUGAAGUUUGGAAGUUCAGGGAUGCUAUCCUUAUUUUGUGUAAUAGAUAGUAAAACAUAAUAUGCAUAUUGAAGAGUUUAAAAUAAAUCUUUUAUUCGGUCCAA